GAUGAAGAACGUAGCGAAAUGCGAUAAGUAAUGUGAAUUGCAGAAUUCAGUGAAUCAUCGAAUCUUUGAACGCACAUUGCGCCCGUCAGUAUUCUGGCGGGCAUGCCUGUUCGAGCGUCAUUACGCCCCUCAAGUCCCCUGUGGACUUGGUGUUGGGGAUCGGCGAGGCUGGUUUUCCAGCACAGCCGUCCCUUAAAUUAAUUGGCGGUCUCGCCGUGGCCCUCCUCUGCGCAGUAGUAAAACACUCGCAACAGGAGCCCGGCGCGGUCCACUGCCGUAAAACCCCCCAACUUUUUAUAGUUGACCUCGGAUCAGGUAGGAAUACCCGCUGAACUUAAGCAUAUCAAUAAGCGGAGGA
Molecule: unclassified non-coding RNA, 358 nt
Filed under: soil metagenome
Description: partial contains 5.8S ribosomal RNA, internal transcribed spacer 2, and large subunit ribosomal RNA
Rfam family: 5.8S ribosomal RNA (bases 1-120)
Source: RNAcentral